AGAGGAGGAGGUGAUAGAAGACAGCGAUGAUGGUGAUCAUGGUGAUGAGGAGGAGGAGGAGGUGAUAGAAGACAGUGAUGAUGGUGAUCAUGGUGAUGAGGAGGAGGUGAUAGAAGACAGCGAUGAUGGUGAUGAUGGUGAUGAGGAGGAGGAGGUGAUAGAAGACAGUGAUGAUGGUGAUGAUGGUGAUGAUGAGGAGGAGGAGGUGAUAGAAGACAGUGAUGAUGGUGAUGAUGGUGAUGAUGAGGAGGAGGAGGUGAUAGAAGACAGUGAUGAUGGUGAUCAUGGUGAUGAGGAGGUGAUAGAAGACAGUGAUGAUGGUGAUGAUGGUGAUGAGGAGGAGGACGAGGUGAUAGAAGACAGUGAUGAUGGUGAUGAUGGUGAUGAUGAGGAGGAGGAGGUGAUAGAAGACAGUGAUGAUGGUGAUGAUGAGGAGGAGGAGGUGAUAGAAGACAGCGAUGAUGGUGAUGAUGGUGAUGAGGAGGAGGACGAGGUGAUAGAAGACAGUGAUGAUGGUGAUGAUGGUGAUGAUGAGGAGGAGGAGGUGAUAGAAGACAGUGAUGAUGGUGAUGAUGAGGAGGAGGAGGUGAUAGAAGACAGUGAUGAUGGUGGUCAUUGUGAUGAGGAGGUGAUAGAAGACAGUGAUGAUGGUGGUCAUGGUGAUGAGGAGGAGGUGAUAGAAGACAGUGAUGAUGGUGAUCAUGGUGAUGAGGAGGAGGUGAUAGAAGACAGUGAUGAUGGUGGUCAUGGUGAUGAGGAGGAGGUGAUAGAAGACAGUGAUGAUGGUGAUGAUGGUGAUGAUGAGGAGGAGGAGGUGAUAGAAGACAGUGAUGAUGGUGAUCAUGGUGAUGAUGAGGAGGAGGAGGUGAUAGAAGACAGUGAUGAUGGUGAUCAUGGUGAUGAGGAGGAGGAGGAGGUGAUAGAAGACAGUGAUGAUGGUGAUCAUGGUGAUGAGGAGGUGAUAGAAGACAGUGAUGAUG
RNAcentral lists this long non-coding RNA (980 nucleotides) under Salmo salar (Atlantic salmon). Its description in RNAcentral is "lncRNA (ENSSSAG00000093926.1, ENSSSAG00000114231.1)". The record is from RNAcentral. Lineage: Eukaryota; Metazoa; Chordata; Actinopteri; Salmoniformes; Salmonidae.